AUUGAACGCUGGCGGCAUGCCUUACACAUGCAAGUCGAACGGUAACAGGUCUUUCGGGAUGCUGACGAGUGGCGAACGGGUGAGUAAUACACCGGAACGUGCCUAGUAGUGGGGGAUAACUACUCGAAAGAGUGGCUAAUACCGCAUGAGAUCUAUGGAUGAAAGCAGGGGACCUUCGGGCCUUGUGCUACUAGAGCGGCCGAUGGCAGAUUAGGUAGUUGGUGGGAUAAAAGCUUACCAAGCAUACGAUCUGUAGCUGGUCUGAGAGGACGAUCAGCCACACUGGGACUGAGACCCGGCCCAGACUCCUACGGGAGGCAGCAGUUGGGAAUUUUGGACAAUGGGCGCAAGCCUGAUCCAGCAAUGCCGCGUGCAGGAUGAAGGCCUUCGGGUUGUAAACUGCUUUUGUACGGAACGAAAAGUCUUGGGUUAAUACCCUGGGAUCAUGACGGUACCGUAAGAAUAAGCACCGGCUAACUACGUGCCAGCAGCCGCGGUAA
RNAcentral lists this ribosomal RNA (500 nucleotides) under uncultured bacterium. RNAcentral describes it as "partial 16S ribosomal RNA". It matches the Rfam family "Bacterial small subunit ribosomal RNA", at positions 30 to 523 of the family's 1533-position model. The record is from RNAcentral.